This is a ribosomal RNA of 775 nucleotides. It matches the Rfam family "Eukaryotic large subunit ribosomal RNA", at positions 49 to 652 of the family's 3401-position model.
AGCGGAGGAAAAGAAACUAACAAGGAUUCCCCUAGUAACGGCGAGUGAAGCGGGAAGAGCUCAAGCUUAAAAUCUCCGUGCAAGUUUUGUGCGGCGAAUUGUAGUCUAUAGAAGCGUGGUCAGCAUGGGCACUUGGGGCAAGUUCCUUGGAAGAGGACAGCAUGGAGGGUGAUACUCCCGUUCAUUUCUGAGUUGCUCGUGCGUACGACCCGUUUUCUUUGAGUCGCGUUGUUUGGGAAUGCAGCGCAAAGUAGGUGGUAAAUUCCAUCUAAAGCUAAAUAUUGGUGCGAGACCGAUAGCGAACAAGUACCGUGAGGGAAAGAUGAAAAGAACUUUGAAAAGAGAGUUAAAGAGUACCUGAAACUGCUGAAAGGGAACCGAAUCGUUUCCAGUGUCUAUAAUCCGUGGUAUAUUUCAUUGGCGAGUGUGUGCGUGCGUGUGCUGUGGCAGCGGCUUUUUUGGCUGCGCUCGGCGUGUGUGCUGUGUGUGCUUGCUGGUGCUCUGUGCUGCGGUGGGACGUCAAGGUCAGUUCGUAUGCUGCGGGAAAUGGCUGCCGAGGAGGUAGGGCUUACGCUUGCGUUUGUCUGUUAUAUCUUGGUGGACGAGUAGUCGCGGUUGGGACUGAGGUGCCUACAACGUGCUUUUGAGUGGGUUUGUGUCUCCGUGUGCGCCGUGUGCGGAUAGCUUGCUAUGCGUGUGUGGUUGUGUGUGGAUUGAUGCGAGCUUUAACUUGUUGCCGUUCGGGACGUUGACGAAAUGGAGCGAUUCGACCCGU